UGAUCCUGGCUCAGAACGUACGCUGGCGGCACGCCUAACACAUGCAAGUCGAACGAAGUAGCAAUACUUAGUGGCAGACGGGUGAGUAACAUGUAGGUAUCUGCCCUUUGGCCUGGAAUAACACGAGGAAACUUGUGCUAAUACCGGAUAAGUCUUUACGGAGAAAGCUUUAUGCACCAUUGGAUGAGCCUGCACUUGAUUAGUUUGUUGGUGGGGUAAUGGCCUACCAAGACUGUGAUCAAUAGCUGAUUUGAGAGGAUGAUCAGCCACAUUGGGACUGAGACACGGCCCAAACUCCUACGGGAGGCAGCAGUGGGGAAUCUUGCACAAUGGAGGAAACUCUGAUGCAGCGAUGCCGCGUGAGUGAAGAAGGCCUUUGGGUUGUAAAGCUCUUUCGUCGGGGAAGAAAAUGACUGUACCCGAAUAAGAAGGUCCGGCUAACUUCGUGCCAGCAGCCGCGGUAAUACGAAGGGACCUAGCGUAGUUCGGAAUUACUGGGCUUAAAGAGUUCGUAGGUGGUUGAAAAAGUUAGUGGUGAAAUCCCAGAGCUUAACUCUGGAACUGCCAUUAAAACUUUUCAGCUAGAGUAUGAUAGAGGAAAGCAGAAUUUCUAGUGUAGAGGUGAAAUUCGUAGAUAUUAGAAAGAAUACCAAUUGCGAAGGCAGCUUUCUGGAUCAUUACUGACACUGAGGAACGAAAGCAUGGGUAGCGAAGAGGAUUAGAUACCCUCGUAGU
This 735-nucleotide ribosomal RNA is filed under the name uncultured marine bacterium. Its description in RNAcentral is "bacterial SSU rRNA". It matches the Rfam family "Bacterial small subunit ribosomal RNA", at positions 14 to 794 of the family's 1533-position model. The record is from RNAcentral.